Molecule: transfer RNA, 73 nt
Filed under: Caudoviricetes sp.
Lineage: Duplodnaviria; Heunggongvirae; Uroviricota; Caudoviricetes
Description: tRNA-Glu
Rfam family: tRNA
About the family: Transfer RNA (tRNA) molecules are approximately 80 nucleotides in length. Their secondary structure includes four short double-helical elements and three loops (D, anti-codon, and T loops). Further hydrogen bonds mediate the characteristic L-shaped molecular structure. tRNAs have two regions of fundamental functional importance: the anti-codon, which is responsible for specific mRNA codon recognition, and the 3' end, to which the tRNAs corresponding amino acid is attached (by aminoacyl-tRNA synthetases). tRNAs cope with the degeneracy of the genetic code in two manners: having more than one tRNA (with a specific anti-codon) for a particular amino acid; and 'wobble' base-pairing, i.e. permitting non-standard base-pairing at the 3rd anti-codon position.
Source: RNAcentral
GGUGGCGUCGUCUAACGGUUAGGACAUAGCACUUUCAAUGCUAUAAUGAUGAGUUCAAUUCUCUCCGCCAUCA